CAGAGUUCAUACGCACCCAGUGUCACGGCGCAGCACUCCCAAAUCCACUAGUCAGUCUGGAGCUAUGUGUGAAAGCCUCGGGGCGUCGCAUUCCUUGAGGUUGGGAGGGAAGGGAGAGACGAGACCGAAGCAAGCUGAGGAGUUCAGUUUGCCGUGUAGACCAUUCCACCUCCAGACACCACGCUCGCACGAACUUCCGUACAGUUGCCACGCCACCUCCGACCCUUCGAGUCUACGCAGUUCAGGGUCCGUCCGUGCUAUGUGUCGUUGGGUGUGGUAAGUGCGGAGCAGCAGCUGGGAGCAUUACCCACGUGACAGGAGAUUUUGUGGUGGAGUGACGUGCCGCUGUUUGGUGGAGGCCAGCGGAUUACAAUGGAGCACGCCGCGGCACAGUAGCACAGGGGAGGAGUUGACGAUCCAAAGGCCUGACUCGCAGCGAUAAUGAGCUUCCUACUGUCAAGGAGACUAUCUCGCACUGCUCUUUCUUUGACAACGCCCACUUCUUGUCUCCGCCGAGGUUGUAUGGAGGAUGAUAGUUGGGAGGAAUCAAAAUGGACGUGAAUGGAUCGUGGAGUUAACCAUCCAAAGGCCUGACUCCGCAGCUCUCGAGCUUCCUGCUGCAUCAGGGAAGGACUCCUCCUCGCACGGCGCCUUCACUGUUCCUCCCCCCACACCCUCCCGCCACCGCAACUCAAGGCAGGGAUUUAGCCUCGCGUGGGGCCUUCACUGCGUCCCGGUAACACUCGCCGUCGUCGUCCUGCGAGGGAUUCGGCCUUGCAUCUCAAAUCCUGCCCACUCAAAACCUGCUGCUGCUGCAGCAGCAGCCGCCGGAGGGAUUCUGCGUGGGACCUUGACCUUGCCCGAUCAACUGCUGCUGCUGCUGCUGCUGCUGGCCAGAGUAAUUGUGGGUUGGUGUGGUAGUCUUCAUUUUUUUUUUUUUUUUACCAUGUGGGCUUUUCACGGGAAUUUAUGGGCUAAAGGAGAUACUAUGUACUUUACUAUGGAUUUAUGUACUUAACAGCUGUGGUGGUGUGGUGUCAUUAUUCUUUGUAAUACACGGUGUUCGUUGCCUCAUUGUGGGCCUCAUUGUGGUGGUACUGAACGUAAGAGCUGUUGUCACUAUUAAAUAAUAAAUUGUGAAGGAAUCUG
Portunus trituberculatus (swimming crab) is the source of this 1149-nucleotide long non-coding RNA. RefSeq lists it as uncharacterized. NCBI's taxonomy places the organism in Eukaryota, Metazoa, Arthropoda, Malacostraca, Decapoda, Portunidae. The transcript has 4 exons. The record is from RefSeq and is a predicted model, not a curated record.